This 253-nucleotide ribosomal RNA is filed under the name uncultured bacterium. Its description in RNAcentral is "partial 16S ribosomal RNA". It matches the Rfam family "Bacterial small subunit ribosomal RNA", at positions 524 to 776 of the family's 1533-position model. The record is from RNAcentral.
UACAGAGGUCCCAAGCGUUGUUCGGAUUCACUGGGCGUAAAGGGUGCGUAGGUGGUACGGCAAGUCAGGUGUGAAAUCUCCAAGCUCAACUUGGAAACUGCAUUCGAAACUACCUUGCUAGAGGAUUUGAGGGGGGACUGGAAUACUUGGUGUAGCAGUGAAAUGCGUAGAUAUCAAGUGGAACACCAGUGGCGAAGGCGAGUCCCUGGAAAAUUCCUGACACUGAGGCACGAAAGCUAGGGGAGCAAACAGG